CGACUUAUAUUCUGUAGCAAGGUUAACCGUAUAGGGGAGCCGGAGGGAAACCGAGUCUUAACCGGGCGUUAAGUUGCAGGGUAUAGACCCGAAACCCGGUGAUCUAGCCAUGGGCAGGUUGAAGGUUGGGUAACACUAACUGGAGGACCGAACCGACUAAUGUUGAAAAAUUAGCGGAUGACCUGUGGCUGGGGGUGAAAGGCCAAUCAAACCGGGAGAUAGCUGGUUCUCCCCGAAAGCUAUUUAGGUAGCGCCUCGUGAAUUCAUCUCCGGGGGUAGAGCACUGUUUCGGCUAGGGGGCCAUCCCGGCUUACCAACCCGAUGCAAACUGCGAAUACCGGAGAAUGUUAUCACGGGAGACACACGGCGGGUGCUAACGUCCGUCGUGAAGAGGGAAACAACCCAGACCGCCAGCUAAGGUCCCAAAGUCAUGGUUAAGUGGGAAACGAUGUGGGAAGGCCCAGACAGCCAGGAUGUUGGCUUAGAAGCAGCCAUCAUUUAAAGAAAGCGUAAUAGCUCACUGGUCGAGUCGGCCUGCGCGGAAGAUGUAACGGGGCUAAACCAUG
RNAcentral lists this ribosomal RNA (566 nucleotides) under Salmonella enterica. RNAcentral's name for it is "partial 23S ribosomal RNA". It matches the Rfam family "Bacterial large subunit ribosomal RNA", at positions 624 to 1191 of the family's 2925-position model. The record is from RNAcentral. Lineage: Bacteria; Pseudomonadati; Pseudomonadota; Gammaproteobacteria; Enterobacterales; Enterobacteriaceae. RNAcentral also lists the same sequence under 1 other name.